UAUUCUCAGGGCGGGGUGAAAUUCCCCACCGGCGGUAUCCCGGAUUGCACCGGGGAGCCCGCGAGCGCCUCUCCAUGGGGAGAGGGUCAGCAGAUCCGGUGAAAGGCCGGAGCCGACGGUAACAGUCCGGAUGAAAGAGGGUA
Molecule: non-coding RNA, 143 nt
Filed under: uncultured Pseudodesulfovibrio sp.
Lineage: Bacteria; Pseudomonadati; Thermodesulfobacteriota; Desulfovibrionia; Desulfovibrionales; Desulfovibrionaceae
Description: FMN riboswitch (RFN element)
Rfam family: FMN riboswitch aptamer (RFN element)
About the family: The RFN element is a highly conserved domain that is found frequently in the 5'-untranslated regions of prokaryotic mRNAs that encode for flavin mononucleotide (FMN) biosynthesis and transport proteins. This element is a metabolite-dependent riboswitch that directly binds FMN in the absence of proteins.
Source: RNAcentral